GGUUGUCUGUAAAUAUGCGCGGGCAAACCUGAAUUUUUUAACUCGCAUAUUGGAGUGAAUCAUCAUGGCACUAAGUGCAGAAGAAAAAGCCGCAAUCGUCGCUGAACAU
RNAcentral lists this non-coding RNA (109 nucleotides) under marine eukaryotic metagenome. RNAcentral's name for it is "Ribosomal S15 leader". It matches the Rfam family "Ribosomal S15 leader", at positions 7 to 102 of the family's 117-position model. From Rfam's summary of the family: The E. coli Ribosomal S15 gene 5' UTR can form two alternative structures. The record is from RNAcentral.